UCCUGGCGGGUGCCUAUACAUGCAAGUCGAGCGGACAGAUGGGAGCUUGCUCCCUGAUGUUAGCGGCGGACGGGUGAGUAACACGUGGGUAACCUGCCUGUAAGACUGGGAUAACUCCGGGAAACCGGGGCUAAUACCGGAUGGUUGUUUGAACCGCAUGGUUCAAACAUAAAAGGUGGCUUCGGCUACCACUUACAGAUGGACCCGCGGCGCAUUAGCUAGUUGGUGAGGUAACGGCUCACCAAGGCAACGAUGCGUAGCCGACCUGAGAGGGUGAUCGGCCACACUGGGACUGAGACACGGCCCAGACUCCUACGGGAGGCAGCAGUAGGGAAUCUUCCGCAAUGGACGAAAGUCUGACGGAGCAACGCCGCGUGAGUGAUGAAGGUUUUCGGAUCGUAAAGCUCUGUUGUUAGGGAAGAACAAGUACCGUUCGAAUAGGGCGGUACCUUGACGGUACCUAACCAGAAAGCCACGGCUAACUACGUGCCAGCAGCCGCGGUAAUACGUAGGUGGCAAGCGUUGUCCGGAAUUAUUGGGCGUAAAGGGCUCGCAGGCGGUUUCUUAAGUCUGAUGUGAAAGCCCCCGGCUCAACCGGGGAGGGUCAUUGGAAACUGGGGAACUUGAGUGCAGAAGAGGAGAGUGGAAUUCCACGUGUAGCGGUGAAAUGCGUAGAGAUGUGGAGGAACACCAGUGGCGAAGGCGACUCUCUGGUCUGUAACUGACGCUGAGGAGCGAAAGCGUGGGGAGCGAACAGGAUUAGAUACCCUGGUAGUCCACGCCGUAAACGAUGAGUGCUA
RNAcentral lists this ribosomal RNA (800 nucleotides) under Bacillus cereus. RNAcentral's name for it is "bacterial SSU rRNA". It matches the Rfam family "Bacterial small subunit ribosomal RNA", at positions 34 to 818 of the family's 1533-position model. Lineage: Bacteria; Bacillati; Bacillota; Bacilli; Caryophanales; Bacillaceae. The record is from RNAcentral.